Oryza sativa Japonica Group (Japanese rice) is the source of this 657-nucleotide long non-coding RNA. RefSeq lists it as uncharacterized. NCBI's taxonomy places the organism in Eukaryota, Viridiplantae, Streptophyta, Magnoliopsida, Poales, Poaceae. The record is from RefSeq and is a predicted model, not a curated record.
UCUCCAACUCUGCUUUUCUGCAAUUUUAAUCAAUUUAUGUUUGUAGGGUUUCAGUAACUUGGGAAUUUGCGAUUUUUGUCAAUGCAAAAUAAAAUUGCAUGAUAUUUCAAUUAUGUUGAGCCAGUGAGAAGGAUGGCCUGGGAAGGUUCAGAUGCUGGGAGACAAUCCAUUGGGUGCCCCAUAUGAGAUGACGAUGAAUGUGAUUUUGUGGGCAGUGGCUGCAAGAGAUCUCAACACAAUUGAGAUUGAACGACACGCUGUUGACUGUGCAAGAAAUCGAAAUGAAGCUUAAGUGAAUCAAUGGUAUGAACUGCACAAGGAGAGGAUGAUAGCUGACGGAGAGAGGAACAAGGACAUCACCAUGUUGCAGGCUCUGGAGAGUGGAGACGAAAAGGAGCGAUCAAUUUGAAAGGAUGGCGCUAUCACUACAGAUAAAACAACAAAUUUUGUUGGUGUCCAAUGUUAUGAUACUUGUACUGUUGAUCGUUCUUGCUUAAGUGACUGCUUGGGAAAAAUAGGAUGGUCGCUUUGUGAGAAUGCACCUGUAUGCCAGAGAAUGGUAUAUAAAACCUGAGUUCUUCACAUGUUCUUCACAUUUUAUUAGCCCUAAUUUCUUGACAAGACAAACAUGAUCAAAAAGCUAGAUUUAAUUCCUCA